UGGGGAAUAUUGCACAAUGGAGGGAACUCUGAUGCAGCGACGCCGCGCGAGUGAUGAAGGAAUUCGUUUCGUAAAACUCUGUUCUAUGGGUAGAAAAGGACUGUACCAUAGUAGAAAGCUCCGGCUAAAUACGUGCCAGCAGCCGCGGUAAUACGUAUGGAGCGAGCGUUGUCCGGAAUUAUUGGGAGUAAAGGGUGCGCAGGCGGCUUUACAAGUUGGAUGUGAAAUAUUGUGGCUCAACCACAAACGUGCAUCCAAAACUGCAAAGCUUGAGUUAAGGAGAGGUAAGUGGAAUUCCUGGUGUAGCGGUGGAAUGCAUAGAUAUCAGGAGGAAUACCGGUGGCGAAGGCGACUUACUGGACUUAAACUGACGCUCAGGCACGAAAGCGUGGGGAGCAAACAGG
This 404-nucleotide ribosomal RNA is filed under the name Fusobacteriota bacterium. Its description in RNAcentral is "Fusobacteria bacterium partial 16S ribosomal RNA". It matches the Rfam family "Bacterial small subunit ribosomal RNA", at positions 355 to 776 of the family's 1533-position model. The record is from RNAcentral. Lineage: Bacteria; Fusobacteriati; Fusobacteriota.